Molecule: long non-coding RNA, 2865 nt
Organism: Taeniopygia guttata (zebra finch)
Lineage: Eukaryota; Metazoa; Chordata; Aves; Passeriformes; Estrildidae
Source: Ensembl
AUGAAUGCUGUGCAAGCAGCAGCUUCUCUGGGAUCUGUACCAGUGGUGGUGUUCUUCCUGCAAGGACUGUUUUUUUGCAGGAAUGCACAUGACUCCGGGUCAAAUACUGCUUGAGUCAGGGAAAACCGAAGUGGUGGUGAUGGACAUUGUGUAGCUUUCUUUCUGAGUGGGAUGGAAGCCUGUACCCUCAGAAAGGAGGACCUUCUGAAUUUACAAAAACUUCCACAGCCUCACAAAUGCCACAGAGAAUGACUGGUCAUGAUUUAAUCACAAUGAAAUAAUCAGCUCAUCUCUGAUAUAAUUGAAUGCCAUGUACCACGAUUCAACUUCAUGAAGAAUGUCCAAAACAGAACUGGAGGGAUCCUUGGGAGAAGGCUUCUUUCAUAUUCUUCCAUAACACAUAAACUUAAAUAACACUUUUUAAUAUUAUAGGGAGCUCGAUUCUGCACAGGGGAGGAGAAGUCUUUUUGAGUGGUCCUGUGAGAGUCUAACUUGUUCUUCCUGUCUAACCAGGGAAGGAUGAAAAGACAGAAACAUCAAAAUAUCCCAGUCCCUGCUGAAUCUCUGUCACUGGUUUUACCAGACAGAUAUGGACUUUUUUUAUUUUGCAGUAAUAAUAAAAUGUGCUGGGACUGCAGAAGGCUUACAGCUGUUGCUGUCUCAUGAGCAACUUUGGGCUCCUUUGAAGCAGUUCAUCACCACACCAGAGGAGGUUCCUCCUCCCCUGCACUGCUGCAUUCCUGUCACAAUGUUCUACAAAGACUGUCUCUCCCCUUCCUCUGAACUGCACAGGGACAUUAGCAUGAAAACGAGGACUUUGUUCCUUAAGUGUUCAUCCAUUCCUCCAGCUUAUCCUCCCACCUGAAGUCCUCAUCUGUGCCAUCAAUGAGUUUCCCUGGAAAUUGGUUUGAUGAGGCUGCUGAAGUGCAAUCCACUUAUGUAUUAUAUGCAAUAAUCUCUCCAUAAUUAUAGACCUCCCUUUACUAUUAUGACAUCUUUUAACACUUUUGAAGUUCCCUCAGUCUCAUAAUUCAGCUUCAUUGACCAGAAAACAAAGAAACCCACCAGCUGCAGAGUUAAAAUCAUGAUGCUGUUGGCUUUAAUCUCUCUUUAAUCAUUAAAAUAUAAAUUAGCACUUGUACUUGUUACUUCCCAAGCAGCUUUCUCUUCUGGAUUUCUUUCAUCCUCUGCUCACAACUGCCACCUGCUUUUUCUGGUGGGCUGCCUUGCACCAGGGAGGAGAUUCCUUCCCAGGGUUUGUCAAGAAACAAGGCUCCGGGGCCUUGACAGCAAAAAAUCACAGUACAGGAGAGGAGUUGAGCAAGUGUAGAAGUAAGUCAAGGCUCUGGACAUCUCUGCCAUAAGGACACUCCUUUAGUACAUCCGUUUUUAGCUAGGGUGUCCCUCAAGGUAAGAAGUUUCUGAAGCCCUUUUGGGGCAGUGCUGAAGUUUUUAGCCAAAAUUGGAUGCAUGGUACACACCACUUCCACUAAACUUCCUUGCAUAUCCUCUGGUGGAGCUCAAGAUUGUUUUGGUCUUAUAGAAGUUUCCUCUAAGUGAAAAUCUGCUUUAUUUCUAAUGCAGUGAAGUGUGUAAACACAUGCUGCUUGUCCACAGUUAGUUGUUGCCUGAGGUCUUACACCAGGAGUAGAUUUUCUGCUCAUAGCUGCAUCUCCAUCCCAGCCAAGAGCAACUCUGGAGGAAAGGAUGUGUUAUCUUCUAAUGGGAUGAGACAUUCCAAACGUCAGGGUUUGGUUCACAGCUCUUAAGGCUCACAACUGUGUGUGUGGAAGAGUUUUAGUCUUACGUGCACAUCUCUGGAUAAAAAGAAUUAUUUGCUGAGCUGUGAGAAAGGCUGAAGUAGUAGAAAAGUCAUGCAGCGCACCUGACUUAAUUGUGUCCCUUAUGGAAUACAUAAAAUGAUGUGCAAAGGGAUGAGCCUUAUUAAGAAAGGCUGAACCUGUUGGUUAAAUCUUAGAAAAAUUCUUUUCUUCCAUAUUAUCUGAGCUUCUUUCUAUGUUUCCUAAAUGUACAAGAUGAAAUUUAAAGCUUAAAUCAAGGAAAGAGAUACUGUGUCUGGAUUUUGUGUAUUCAUGAUAUUUUCCACGAACUUUGAACAUGAUAUGGUUUGGUCCAUGGCCAGUUCUUAAAACAAAGCCCUUUUUAUUAGGUUUCUUUUUUUAAAAAUAAUAAUAUCUUCUAUACUAUUGCUCAGGCUAUAUGAAUUAGACAUGUGAAGCUGUGGCUCCAUUGAAAACAGGUUUUUUUCUCCAAUAACUGCUGAGGAAGCAGUUUUGUUCUCUGCCAGAAUGAGAUAGUUAUAACAUCUCUGAAAAUAAUCUUCCUAAUUCUGACAAUACUAUGAAAAUCCUGGUUUGUUUUACCACUCAUAAAAACUGGCUAUACAUAAUUUGUGAUGUCUUAAAAGGAUAUCCAGGGCUCUAUUUAUCUUUCACUUCAAUAAGCAGAGAAUUGGAAAAGAACAAUAGAAAGAAGCAACAGAUGUGCUUGGGUAUUUGAGCAUAACCCCAUUAGGGAGGACUCAGUGUGGUUUAUUGGAAUUUCAGUCCUACAAAGCCAAGCACAUGUGACUUUGUGGGGAACCCCAAAUUUGUCUGAUACAACAGGAACAUCAUUCAAAGUGGUGCAGCUCUGUGCCUGGCAGCAAAAUGAUCUGCCAAAAGCAAGCAAAAAAUACAAGGAGUAGGUGGAGGCAGAAGGUCCCUGAGCAGAAACCACAGAUUUGUAGGAUUGUGCUUGGAGUUCCACACCACUGAGAAAGGCCCAGCUCCAUUUUAUUUGCACCCUCCUGUCAGACAUUUAUUCACAUUGAUAAUCCUCUGUGCUUAGCAAUCCUCCCAAUAA